RNAcentral lists this ribosomal RNA (620 nucleotides) under Rhizobium sp. RNAcentral's name for it is "bacterial SSU rRNA". It matches the Rfam family "Bacterial small subunit ribosomal RNA", at positions 84 to 739 of the family's 1533-position model. The record is from RNAcentral. Lineage: Bacteria; Pseudomonadati; Pseudomonadota; Alphaproteobacteria; Hyphomicrobiales; Rhizobiaceae.
CCGCAAGGGGAGUGGCAGACGGGUGAGUAACGCGUGGGAAUCUACCGAGCCCUGCGGGAUAGCUCCGGGAAACUGGAAUUAAUACCGCAUGCGCCCUACGGGGGAAAGAUUUAUCGGGGUUUGAUGAGCCCGCGUUGGAUUAGCUAGUUGGUGGGGUAAAGGCCUACCAAGGCGACGAUCCAUAGCUGGUCUGAGAGGAUGAUCAGCCACAUUGGGACUGAGACACGGCCCAAACUCCUACGGGAGGCAGCAGUGGGGAAUAUUGGACAAUGGGCGCAAGCCUGAUCCAGCCAUGCCGCGUGAGUGAUGAAGGCCUUAGGGUUGUAAAGCUCUUUCACCGGAGAAGAUAAUGACGGUAUCCGGAGAAGAAGCCCCGGCUAACUUCGUGCCAGCAGCCGCGGUAAUACGAAGGGGGCUAGCGUUGUUCGGAAUUACUGGGCGUAAAGCGCACGUAGGCGGACAUUUAAGUCAGGGGUGAAAUCCCGGGGCUCAACCUCGGAACUGCCUUUGAUACUGGGUGUCUUGAGUGUGGAAGAGGUAAGUGGAAUUCCGAGUGUAGAGGUGAAAUUCGUAGAUAUUCGGAGGAACACCAGUGGCGAAGGCGGCUUACUGGUCCACAA